CGGGUGAGUAAUGCAUAGGAAUCUACCCAGUAUGGGGGACAACUCGGGGAAACUCGAGCCAAUACCGCAUACGACCUACGGGUGAAAGUGGGGGAUCUUCGGACCUCACGCUAUUGGAUGAGCCUAUGUCAGAUUAGCUAGUUGGUGGGGUAAUGGCCUACCAAGGCGACGAUCUGUAGCUGGUUUGAGAGGAUGAUCAGCCACACUGGGACUGAGACACGGCCCAG
This 227-nucleotide ribosomal RNA is filed under the name uncultured bacterium. RNAcentral describes it as "partial 16S ribosomal RNA". It matches the Rfam family "Bacterial small subunit ribosomal RNA", at positions 103 to 334 of the family's 1533-position model. The record is from RNAcentral.